Non-coding RNA from Angiostrongylus costaricensis, 72 nucleotides. NCBI's taxonomy places the organism in Eukaryota, Metazoa, Nematoda, Chromadorea, Rhabditida, Metastrongylidae. The record is from Rfam.
GACCGCUUGGCGCUAUGGUAGCGCGUUCGACUCCAGAUCGAAAGGUUGGGCGUUCGAUUCGCUCAGUGGUCA